CCAAGAGCUUGUUUUGUUUGUCUGCUUGCUUGACUUGCAUCGACCGAGUUGUUGGACCGUUGGAUUUUUUAUUUGUUUAUUAAGAUUUUUUUUCACGAACAUGUGUCAGAGCAUAAGUUUUUCAUUAAGAGUAGAGUAUUUAAGAAAUCAGGAGGGGUUUGCACAUCUACUGAAAAUUAAUUAAGAAAAUGAAAGUUUCUACUGCUUACGUAGGAGUAAAUAGAGAUUGACUUGGAUCGAAGCAAGUCGUUGCCAAUAAUCUUGUCAG
Molecule: long non-coding RNA, 268 nt
Filed under: Sorghum bicolor (sorghum)
Lineage: Eukaryota; Viridiplantae; Streptophyta; Magnoliopsida; Poales; Poaceae
Description: long non-coding RNA (SBIC_LNC003423)
Source: RNAcentral